ACGGAAGGCAGCAGUGGGGAAUAUUGGGCAAUGGGCGCAAGCCUGGCCCAGCAACGCCGCGUGGAGGAAGAAGGCUUUCGGGUUGUAAACUUCUUUUACCAGGGACGAAGGACGUGACGGUACCUGGAGAAAAAGCCACGGCUAACUACGUGCCAGCAGCCGCGGUAAUACGUAGGUAGCAAGCGUUGUCCGGAUUUACUGGGUGUAAAGGGCGUGUAGGCGGAGAUGCAAGUCAGGAGUGAAAUCUAUGGGCUCAACCCAUAAACUGCUUUUGAAACUGUAUCCCUUGAGUAUCGGAGAGGCAGGCGGAAUUCCUAGUGUAGCGGUGAAAUGCGUAGAUAUUAGGAGGAACACCAGUGGCGAAGGCGGCCUGCUGGACGACAACUGACGCUGAGGCGCGAAAGCGUGGGGAGCAAACAGGAUUAGAUACCCUGGUA
This 437-nucleotide ribosomal RNA is filed under the name uncultured Oscillospiraceae bacterium. RNAcentral describes it as "partial 16S ribosomal RNA". It matches the Rfam family "Bacterial small subunit ribosomal RNA", at positions 341 to 792 of the family's 1533-position model. Lineage: Bacteria; Bacillati; Bacillota; Clostridia; Eubacteriales; Oscillospiraceae. The record is from RNAcentral.